Molecule: ribosomal RNA, 449 nt
Filed under: uncultured bacterium
Lineage: Bacteria
Description: bacterial SSU rRNA
Rfam family: Bacterial small subunit ribosomal RNA
Source: RNAcentral
ACGCCAGACUCCUACGGGAGGCAGCAGUGGGGAAUAUUGCACAAUGGGGGGACCCUGAUGCAGCGACGCCGCGUGGGUGAAGGAGUAUUUCGGUAUGUAAAGCCCUAUCAGCAGGGAAGAACAAUGACGGUACCUGACUAAGAAGCACCGGCUAAAUACGUGCCAGCAGCCGCGGUAAUACGUAGGGGGCAAGCGUUAUCCGGAUUUACUGGGUGUAAAGGGGGCGCAGACGGCAGCGCAAGCCAGGAGUGAAAGCCCGGGGCCCAACCCCGGGACUGCUCUUGGAACUGCGCGGCUGGAGUGCAGGAGGGGCAGGCGGAAUUCCUGGUGUAGCGGUGAAAUGCGUAGAUAUCAGGAGGAACACCGGUGGCGAAGGCGGCCUGCUGGACUGCGACUGACGUUGAGGCCCGAAAGCGUGGGGAGCAAACAGGAUUAGAUACCCUCGUACU